GCGGUGAUGGUGGAAUAGGCAGACACGCUUGUUUGAGGGGCAAGUUCCCAGUAGGGAGUGAGGGUUCAAAUCCCUCUCACCGCACCA
This 87-nucleotide transfer RNA is filed under the name Thermosyntropha lipolytica DSM 11003. RNAcentral's name for it is "tRNA_Leu_GAG". It matches the Rfam family "tRNA". From Rfam's summary of the family: Transfer RNA (tRNA) molecules are approximately 80 nucleotides in length. Their secondary structure includes four short double-helical elements and three loops (D, anti-codon, and T loops). The record is from RNAcentral. Lineage: Bacteria; Bacillati; Bacillota; Clostridia; Eubacteriales; Syntrophomonadaceae.